Molecule: ribosomal RNA, 495 nt
Filed under: uncultured bacterium
Lineage: Bacteria
Description: partial 16S ribosomal RNA
Rfam family: Bacterial small subunit ribosomal RNA
Source: RNAcentral
GAUGAACGCUGGCGGCGUGCUUAACACAUGCAAGUCGAACGAAGCACCUCUCCCGAAGAUUGACGCAGCUUGCUGUAGAUUGAUUCAUUUGAGGUGACUGAGUGGCGGACGGGUGAGUAACGCGUGGGUAACCUGCCUCAUAGAGGGGGACAACAGUUGGAAACGACUGCUAGUACCGCAUAGUAAGAAGAAUUCGCAUGUUUUCUUCUUGAAAGAUUUAUCGCUAUGAGAUGGAGCCGCGUCUGAUUAGCUAGUGGAUAAGGUAACGGCUUACCAAGGCGACGAUCCGUAGCCGGCUUGAGAGCGUGAACGGCUAGAUUGGGACUGAGACACGGCCCAAACUCCUACGCGAGGCAGCAGUGGGGAACAUUGCACAAUGGGGGAAACCCUGAUGCAGCGACGCGGCGGGAGUGAAGAAGUAGUUCGGUAUGUAAAGCCCUAUCAGCAGGGAAGAUAAUGACGGUACCUGACUAAGAAGCCCCGGCUAACUACGUG